Molecule: unclassified non-coding RNA, 161 nt
Filed under: uncultured Ochroconis
Lineage: Eukaryota; Fungi; Ascomycota
Description: sequence contains ITS2
Source: RNAcentral
CACACCCCAAGCUCUGCUUGAUGUUGGACGAUGCCUUGGCCCUUCUGGGCCAGGGCACGUCUGGAACCCGUGGGCGCCCCCGCCGAACCACGAGCGUAGCAAGACGCAAGUCACUCGCUUCUGUCGGUCUCGGUGGAGGGUCUGCCUAAUCCAUUUCUGAA